ACAAUUUAGCCCUGUAACUAACUUCUGCUCAGGUGAGUUAUCCUGGCCAGCUAUGAUCAUCUUUUCUUUUCCUUUUUUUUUUUUUUCAUUUUUGUGUGUGUGAAUUGCUGAAAAGCAAACCUUUCCUGCAACUAAUUGUAUUUGCUAAUAACCUGUGAAAAAGCAAUUAUCUCCAGGUGAUGCAAUUCUUUGGGAAGGCUUUUAUAAUUGGCAAAGAGGGGAAAGAAUCUUUUCUGUGGUUGCUGUUUUCAGAAAAAUCUUCUCAAAUAUUGUAUCUGAUGUAUCACAUUAGACACAUCAGAUUGGGUUGCAUCAGCAAUGUUGCAUUACAUCACAUCACCGAGCCAGAAUAAUUUUGCUAUGUGAAGAUGAACUCCUGAAAUGGGAACCUAUUUGGAGAAUUUAUCUGACAGAAGCAAUAGGACUUCAGCUUGAGGACCUAGACCAGCCCAAAUGAAGCAGUACGGCAGGGAUGGGACUGGCAUCAUCGGCACCCGGAGUCUUCUGCACUUCACAAAGUUACGCAUCUUCUUCUGCAUUUCUUCAAGUACAGAAAACUGGCAACCCGUGUGUCUCUUCAUGUCCUGCAGAGCAAUUAAAGGACAGCCAGCAUUUUCCUCUGCGUGCCACCAGCCACAUCAUUUCAUUCACUGAAGUAGCCGAUGGUGAGAUUAGGCAAAUACUUUGACUUUGCCCCUGCCUUUUGUGGUUGCCGUACCUCUGAAGAUGCCAUUCACCUCUAAUUACAAGUCUGUUGAAAUCAUGCAGAGAAGGAACAGUGUAAGUCAUUAGCCCUCCUAAAUGAAUGUGCAGCUGAGUAGCUAACAAAGGGAUUAACACUUGACAGCAAAAGCGUUGCAUGCUGAAGGAGAGGGUCACUGGGUGACUGCCUAUUACACAGAAAUAAUUGCUAUCCAAUGCUGAGAGAAACCGAUGGCUGCAGGCUGUGUUUACUGCACAGAAAUGCAUUUUUGCUGUCAGUUCUUACCCCCCUGCAUAAUCCGCCCUUGCAUAAAAUAGGGAGAAGGCCUAUUUUGGCCAGGGCAUGGUGGGAAGAGGCAAUGGAAGUACAGGGAACUGAAGCCCAAGAAAAUUUGGUAGGAAUCAUCCCGUUGAACAGAAAACUUUC
RNAcentral lists this long non-coding RNA (1129 nucleotides) under Anser brachyrhynchus (Pink-footed goose). Its description in RNAcentral is "lncRNA (ENSABRG00000005136.1)". Lineage: Eukaryota; Metazoa; Chordata; Aves; Anseriformes; Anatidae. The record is from RNAcentral.